GAUCCUGGCUCAGGACGAACGCUGGCGGCGUGCCUAAUACAUGCAAGUAGAACGCUGAAGGAGGAGCUUGCUUCUCUGGAUGAGUUGCGAACGGGUGAGUAACGCGUAGGUAACCUGCCUGGUAGCGGGGGAUAACUAUUGGAAACGAUAGCUAAUACCGCAUAAUAUUGAUUAUUGCAUGAUAGUCAAUUAAAAGGUGCAAUUGCAUCACUACCAGAUGGACCUGCGUUG
RNAcentral lists this ribosomal RNA (231 nucleotides) under uncultured bacterium. Its description in RNAcentral is "partial 16S ribosomal RNA". It matches the Rfam family "Bacterial small subunit ribosomal RNA", at positions 15 to 238 of the family's 1533-position model. The record is from RNAcentral.